AGCAACCUGCGAGAGCGAGUGACGGAGAGAGCCGAAGAGAGAGGAGAAGCUCUCAGCGAUGGCAGCCGAAUCUCUCUCCACUGCCUCCAGAGCUUUCAGAAUAUCCUUCCUCCGACCGAGCGAUUUUGCAUCUGCCUGGCCACCGCCACCGUCGAAAUGGCAAUGAACCACCGCAUCCGAAACUUCGGCCUCUGAUUUGUCGUUAAUCGUUUCCUCGUUCUCCAUAGAAAAAGGCUUGAGCGACGAAAGAGGAAAAGGAAAAGGGUGGCGCUUUAAAACUCGGCUUGCGACGCUAACGAAACAAGAAAAGAAGAAAAGAAGGUUUUUGUGGGCUAAUGUGUGAUUUAGAAAAAUAUAUAGGUAAUUGAAAUUUUUUAUCAAAGUUGUAUAAUAAGGAAUAUAGAGAGUAUUAAAAUCAUGGAUUAUGAUUUUGUAUAUAAAUUCAAUUUUUAUAUCAAUAAUAAUAUAUUUUUUAAAAGUAAUAAUGUAAACAAUUUUCAUUCAGUUAUCCAAUAUGUGAACCACUUGUAUAAGACGAAAAAUUGAAAUUUAUUAUCCCAUUAUUCAUCUUUACUUACUUACAAUAAUAUUAAUAAAUGAAUAAUUACAUGGAUAUAAACCAUACAAUAUACAUACAAUGAAAAUAAAUUAUUUGACUCCAAAACGUAAACUAAAAAAACGAAUUAAAUAAGAAGGAUUCAUGAAUGGUAUUAUAAGAUUUUCAAAAUUUUAUGACUUAGUAAUUGAAAAGGAUUGGAUUUCAAUUUAAAAAAGAAACAAAUAAUUCAUAAAUAAUUUAAUGAAAAACCAAUCCACGGAUCCAAAUAUUUAUAGAGAGGCGAAAGAUGUAGAGAAUUUAUAGUGUUUUAUAAUAUGGUGGGUGUCGCCACAUGAAAAUCAUUUUUUUUUUUUGUAAUAACGAGUUUUGUAUUUAUAAUCUAUAACUAUUAGAGCUGAUUUUCUAUAUGACAGAUGUAAAUUUAGAUAAAUGUACUUAUUUUGUAUUUUUUUUUUAUAGAAUUUUUAGUUGAAUGUAUAAAUGUUAUUGUUUCGUUAUUGUUCCCUGCUGGAAGAACUGCUCAUUAUCGAUUAUAUUAAUCCUAAUGCAAAUUUGAUAUGAAAUAUUAUGCAAAAAAGCUUACUAUCAUAACAUAUGCUGAAACAAGAAGUGUAAUAAAUAUAGAAUAUAAAAAAGAUAAAGUUGUUGUAAGGUGGGUCCAUUAGUGACAAAUGAUAGGAAAAGAAGGAGAGUAAAAAAGUACAAAAGGCACAAUACAGCUUUAAUUGGUGAACAAAAAUUUAAGUGCAAAUAGGACUUUAAUUCGUAGACGGAGAGAGUAUAUGUUUGUGUGUAUUGAUUAUUUAUACACAUAAAACUUAAUAUAUUUAUAAAUCGUGCAUCGCACGGGUACAACACUAGUUCGGUAGUAAAGACAGAAGCAAAUGAGAACAAAAAGUAAAGAGAUUCACAAAUUACCAUUUAAUAAUUUGACUUUAAAAUGAGGGUAAUGUGCACCAACGGAGUGAAUACUUACAGGCUGCAGAGAGAGAGAGAGAGAGAGAGAGUUUAUAUAUAUAUAUUAUCCAUUGGCAAGAAAAUGAAGAAAAGACAAUAGCAAGUUAUAAGAUUAAGCCUGCUAGCUUAUCAGGCACUGCCCUUGAUUGCCUCAGCUUNNNN
RNAcentral lists this long non-coding RNA (1678 nucleotides) under Salvia miltiorrhiza (redroot sage). RNAcentral describes it as "long non-coding RNA (SMIL_LNC006964)". The record is from RNAcentral. Lineage: Eukaryota; Viridiplantae; Streptophyta; Magnoliopsida; Lamiales; Lamiaceae.